AAUUAGAAAGCGAAGUUUGCAGUUAGUUUCGACCUAACCUUUGGCCUAGGCCUCUAAUUU
Molecule: transfer RNA, 60 nt
Filed under: Parastacus brasiliensis
Lineage: Eukaryota; Metazoa; Arthropoda; Malacostraca; Decapoda; Parastacidae
Description: tRNA-Arg
Source: RNAcentral